Chroicocephalus ridibundus (black-headed gull) is the source of this 372-nucleotide long non-coding RNA. RefSeq lists it as uncharacterized. The record is from RefSeq and is a predicted model, not a curated record. NCBI's taxonomy places the organism in Eukaryota, Metazoa, Chordata, Aves, Charadriiformes, Laridae. The transcript is spliced from 3 exons.
GCUGGAUUUGGUGAUCUACAAGGUAAUUAUGCCAGAAGAGAGAUUAUUUUUCAGACUUACUUUGGAAAAUCAGAGCCAGCCUGCCUUGGAAACAGAGAGAGGCUCAAGGGAGCUGCGUGGAGGCUGAUAACACGGAGGCCCCCGGGGAGGACAAGGGUGUGCUGCGUAGCCCUGGGAGCUGUGGAGGGACCAGGUGCUCCGCAGCAGCAGAAAAAUGAAAAAAUCCCAGCAUAGCCAGUGACCUCUUUCUUCGUGACAGUCCUCAAAGCUGCCAGGCAGCAACGGAGCUGGAGGCGCUUCUCCAAAAUCCUGGGGGAGGGCCCUGGCCACUGUAAUCCUGAGUGGAUGAGCAGGGGCUGAGGGCACCACAUU